CAGCAGCCGCGGUAAUACGGAGGAUGCGAGCGUUAUCCGGAUUUAUUGGGUUUAAAGGGUGCGCAGGCGGGAUUUUAAGUCAGCGGUGAAAUUUUCAGGCUCAACCUGAACACUGCCGUUGAAACUGGGAUUCUUGAGUAUGGAUGAAGUAGGCGGAAUUCGUUGUGUAGCGGUGACAUGCUUAGAUAUAACGAGGAACUCCGAUUGCGUAGGCAGCUUACUAAGCCAUAACUGACGCUCAAGCACGAAAGCGUGGGGAUCAAACAGGAUUAGAUACCCUGGUAGUCCACGCCGUAAACGAUGAUUACUAGUUGUUUGCGAUAUACCGUAAGUGACUAAGCGAAAGCGAUAAGUAAUCCACCUGGGGAGUACGCCGGCMACGGUGAAACUCAAAGGAAUUGAC
RNAcentral lists this ribosomal RNA (403 nucleotides) under uncultured Dysgonomonas sp. RNAcentral describes it as "bacterial SSU rRNA". It matches the Rfam family "Bacterial small subunit ribosomal RNA", at positions 509 to 914 of the family's 1533-position model. Lineage: Bacteria; Pseudomonadati; Bacteroidota; Bacteroidia; Bacteroidales; Dysgonomonadaceae. The record is from RNAcentral.